ACGGAAGGCAGCAGUGGGGAAUAUUGGACAAUGGGGGAAACCCUGAUCCAGCGACGCCGCGUGAGUGAAGAAGUAUUUCGGUAUGUAAAGCUCUAUCAGCAAGGAAGAAAAUGACGGUACUUGACUAAGAAGCUCCGGCUAAAUACGUGCCAGCAGCCGCGGUAAUACGUAUGGAGCAAGCGUUAUCCGGAUUUACUGGGUGUAAAGGGAGCGUAGACGGUAAAGCAAGUCUGAAGUGAAAUCCCGGGGCUCAACCCCGGAACUGCUUUGGAAACUGUUUAACUAGAAUGCAGGAGAGGUAAGCGGAAUUCCUAGUGUAGCGGUGAAAUGCGUAGAUAUUAGGAGGAACACCAGUGGCGAAGGCGGCUUACUGGACUGUAACUGACGUUGAGGCUCGAAAGCGUGGGGAGCAAACAGGAUUAGAUACCCUGGUA
This 434-nucleotide ribosomal RNA is filed under the name uncultured Lachnospiraceae bacterium. RNAcentral describes it as "partial 16S ribosomal RNA". It matches the Rfam family "Bacterial small subunit ribosomal RNA", at positions 341 to 792 of the family's 1533-position model. Lineage: Bacteria; Bacillati; Bacillota; Clostridia; Lachnospirales; Lachnospiraceae. The record is from RNAcentral.